AUGUUUGGGCAAUACGUAUGUCUUCUGCAGUUCUUUGGAUUAGUCGGCAUAUGUAUGACAUAUAAAUUACAUCCCGUUAUAACGCCUGAUAUACCAUCAAACACGAACCUUACAACGGCUCCAUUUGUUAGGAUCGCUUAUGGAUUUUACUUUUUCGAGGUGAACAAACAGAAAAACUGGUUCGAUGCUUACCAAACGUGUCGUUGCAUGGACGCUGAAUUGAUAUCGAUCGAAACGAUCGACGAAUGAAAUCAGCAACACUCCAAAUCAUUUUACAGAAAUUGAAAGCGUAAUUUUAACAGUUGGAUAACAGCAGAGCCGUUUAUACUUGACGCAGAAGCAGCUUUUUAUUAUGUGCCGCUGAUUGAAAAUGAUUUAUAGCAACUCAAAAUAUCAAAACCAUUAGCAACGUCUCAAGAAAUCUAAAAAGCGAUAAUGGCCAAUGUGUUUGAGAGCUGAGCACAACAGAAAAAAAAAAAAGAAGAAAGAAAAAUGUAUUGAAAAUUAAAAGCAUGUCAAACAAGGAAACCGCAGCAGGAAUUGGUAGGGAAAAAUAAGAAAAGCUAACAGCAAGAUGGUCUCGCCGAUGGCCACGCCCACAAAAGCCACCAAUCUCCCCGCACAGCUUGCAACAUUUUAUAAAGCAAUUUCUCCCGGCAGCAACAUCGAAAUGCAAUGCACGCCUGAAGGACAUACGCGAGCAGCUGCAUGUGUGUGUGUGCGUGUGUGUGUGUAAGGGUCCUGCCAGCAAAAAGAAAAAAAUAAAAAAUCUAUAUACAAUAUGUAUACAAUUUAA
Long non-coding RNA from Drosophila virilis, 796 nucleotides. RefSeq lists it as uncharacterized. Lineage: Eukaryota; Metazoa; Arthropoda; Insecta; Diptera; Drosophilidae. The record is from RefSeq and is a predicted model, not a curated record.